Molecule: ribosomal RNA, 253 nt
Filed under: uncultured bacterium
Lineage: Bacteria
Description: partial 16S ribosomal RNA
Rfam family: Bacterial small subunit ribosomal RNA
Source: RNAcentral
UACGUAGGGGGCAAGCGUUGUCCGGAUUUAUUGGGCGUAAAGAGCGUGUAGGCGGCCAAGCAGGUCAGCUGUGAAAACUCGAGGCUCAACCUCGAGACGUCGGUUGAAACCGCUUGGCUAGAGUCCGGAAGAGGAGAGUGGAAUUCCCGGUGUAGCGGUGAAAUGCGCAGAUAUCAGGAGGAACACCGAUGGCGAAGGCAGGUCGCUGGGCCGCAACUGACGCUGAGGAGCGAAAGCAUGGGGAGCGAACAGG